CCUACGGGGGGCUGCAGUCGAGAAUCAUUCACAAUGGGGGAAACCCUGAUGGUGCGAAGCCGCGUGGGGGAAUGAAGGUCUUCGGAUUGUAAACCCCUGUCAUGUGGGAGCAAAUCAAAAAGAUAGUACCACAUGAGGAAGAGACGGCUAACUCUGUGCCAGCAGCCGCGGUAAUACAGAGGUCUCAAGCGUUGUUCGGAAUCACUGGGCGAAAAGCGUGCGUAGGCUGUUUCGUAAGUCGUGUGUGAAAGGCGCGGGCUCAACCCGCGGACGGCACAUGAUACUGCGAGACUAGAGUCAUGGAGGGGGAACCGGAAUUCUCGGUGUAGCAGUGAAAUACGUAGAUAUCGAGAGGAACACUAGUGGCGAAGGUGGGUUCCUGGACAUUAACUGACGCUGAGGCACGAAGGCCAGGGGAUCGAACAGGAUUAGAUACCCUGUAGUC
This 445-nucleotide ribosomal RNA is filed under the name uncultured bacterium. Its description in RNAcentral is "partial 16S ribosomal RNA". It matches the Rfam family "Bacterial small subunit ribosomal RNA", at positions 338 to 795 of the family's 1533-position model. The record is from RNAcentral.